This is a non-coding RNA of Phthorimaea operculella (potato tuberworm), 77 nucleotides long. NCBI's taxonomy places the organism in Eukaryota, Metazoa, Arthropoda, Insecta, Lepidoptera, Gelechiidae. The record is from the annotation of a GenBank genome assembly.
GCAUCGAUGGCUCAGUGGCAGAGCAGGGGGGCGUUGAUCAGCCCGAUACGGCCCGGGUUCGAGCCCCGGUCGAUGAG